GGGCGAUCUGGCUGCGACAAAUACCCCAUUGAUCACCAGGGUUGAUUCAGCUGAUGUGGGUGGCUAGGUGGGUGCCCCCUUCCUCCUGGGCGUCCCUCCCGAAGCUGCGCACUCCGUCGAAGAAGACGACCUUCCUCAGUAGAGGAGGAUCGUUCUUCUCCAUCAAGGGUACACGAGGAACUGCGCUCCCCUGCUAGAACCUCCAAACGAGCUUUCGAGAGCUUGUGGUACAAGAAAAAUCCUUGCUCUGAUAUUAUCAUAGAAGACAGAUGAAAGGACAGAGAUUAGGAAGUAAACACAAACGUACACAAUUGUAAUGUAUUGCACUUGU
Molecule: small nuclear RNA, 331 nt
Filed under: Vicugna pacos (alpaca)
Lineage: Eukaryota; Metazoa; Chordata; Mammalia; Artiodactyla; Camelidae
Description: 7SK RNA (ENSVPAG00000016623.1)
Rfam family: 7SK RNA
About the family: 7SK was discovered as an abundant small nuclear RNA in the mid-70s but a possible function has only recently been suggested.
Source: RNAcentral